AAGUCAUAACAAGGUUUCCGUAGGUGAACCUGCGGAAGGAUCAUUAAUAAUGCCCUCUGGCUUCGGUCAGCUGGGUUCAAUGUGUGUCAUCUCUUCGGAGAUGGCCAUCCACACACACCGUGAACUGUGACUUCGGUCAUCACAAACUUUUAGUAAUGAAUGUAAAAAUCAUAACAAAAUAAAACUUUUAACAACGGAUCUCUUGGCUCUC
Molecule: unclassified non-coding RNA, 211 nt
Filed under: Vishniacozyma tephrensis
Lineage: Eukaryota; Fungi; Basidiomycota; Tremellomycetes; Tremellales; Bulleribasidiaceae
Also listed under: 3 other names
Description: partial internal transcribed spacer region
Rfam family: Eukaryotic small subunit ribosomal RNA (bases 1-46)
Source: RNAcentral